This 268-nucleotide long non-coding RNA is filed under the name Elaeis guineensis (African oil palm). RNAcentral describes it as "long non-coding RNA (EGUI_LNC034777)". Lineage: Eukaryota; Viridiplantae; Streptophyta; Magnoliopsida; Arecales; Arecaceae. The record is from RNAcentral.
GUCCUAUAAAAAUAUUCAGAAUCUUUUUAGUAAAUAAUCGAUAUAGGAUUAAAUACAUGCUCGUAUGGAGAUCUUCACAUACUUUUCCCAUUUAUGCUAUGGCAUUCUUACCAGGAUAAGGAUUCAAAUCUAUACAAAUCCAUUCAUAAGCGCCAUAAUUGGCUCGUGGUCAAUACCAAUGAAUCUGUAUUGUAAUGUCUCCUAGUCUAGAUGGAUUACAAGUUGGAUCGACUCUGACAUCAUUUAUUAUGACUCAGAAGUCAGGAUC